RNAcentral lists this small RNA (151 nucleotides) under Tumebacillus sp. Its description in RNAcentral is "c-di-AMP sequence". It matches the Rfam family "c-di-AMP riboswitch aptamer (ydaO/yuaA leader)". Rfam says of the family: This family represents a conserved RNA structure found upstream of the ydaO and yuaA genes in Bacillus subtilis and related genes in other bacteria. The ydaO/yuaA element is thought to act as a genetic "off" switch for the ydaO and yuaA genes in its native state. The record is from RNAcentral. Lineage: Bacteria; Bacillati; Bacillota; Bacilli; Caryophanales; Alicyclobacillaceae.
ACCCUGAAUAUGCCGAAUCUUGUCGAAUGAAAGAUUUCGACGAGUACGGGGGACGCAACACUUUGGGGUGAAUGUUCUGCCGUUUGUGAGAGCAAGGGAAUCCUCUUCCCGAACCCGUCAACUAACCUCGGAGGCGAAAUGAGGAGGGUAU